GACGAACCGAGCGAACGUUAUUCGGAAUCACUGGGCUUAAAGGGCGCGUAGGCGGGCGGCCAAGUCAGGGGUGAAAGCCCCCAGCUCAACUGGGGAAGUGCCUCUGAUACUGGUCGCCUCGAGGGAGAUAGGGGCGUGCGGAACUUCCGGUGGAGCGGUGAAAUGCGUAGAUAUCGGAAGGAACACCGGUGGCGAAGGCGGGUCUCUGGGCCGAUACUGACGCUGAGGAGCGAAAGCGUGGGGAGCGAACAGG
Molecule: ribosomal RNA, 253 nt
Filed under: uncultured bacterium
Lineage: Bacteria
Description: partial 16S ribosomal RNA
Rfam family: Bacterial small subunit ribosomal RNA
Source: RNAcentral